This 704-nucleotide long non-coding RNA is filed under the name Urocitellus parryii (Arctic ground squirrel). RNAcentral's name for it is "lncRNA (ENSUPAG00010003912.1)". Lineage: Eukaryota; Metazoa; Chordata; Mammalia; Rodentia; Sciuridae. The record is from RNAcentral.
CCGUGACUCUCCCUGAACGCCUCUGCCUCAAAGACUACACUUCCCAUUGACCCCUGCAGUGACUUCCGCGUCUGGCGUCAGCGGCCCUGCGACGGGCGGUAGUGACGUGUCAGAGGAGCUCGAUUUUUGCUUGUGGUCCUGGCUGGCGGUUUCUGUACCAGACUUCUUCUUGGUUUAUUCUUGCUGCAGCUGUGGGGUUGGAUACCUGCGCCCGUACUCUGGAAAGACCAAAAGAAGAGACAAUAACAGGAAAAUACUUCCUCUACAGCAUCACUUGCUUUGAGGAUAAUAAAACAAUGCUAUCUCCCAAGAACCGUGAGCUGGGCUGGGGAUGUGGCUCAAGCGGUAGCGCUCUCGCCUGGCAUGCGUGCGGCCUGAAUUCAAUCCUCAGCACCACAUACCAACAAAGAUGUUGUGUCCGCCGAGAACCGUGAGCUUUGGAUAACCCUAAUAGGCAAAACUUUUGGGGUUCUAGCUGAAGAAUUUUCCUGGCCUCUGAUAAAUGGAACAUCUUACUCUUGUAGAAACAAUUCUAUGGAUUCAUUUGAUCUACCCAUUGGGCUAGCUUUCAAUCGUUAAUGAACACAUAGCCAUAAUGAAACGUUCCACUUCUAGCAUUUUAAAAUACCCCAAUGAACAAUUCAAGAAACUUUUUCAGUGAUGUGUGUAAUAAAUUUAAUCUAUUCUAUAUAAACUGGAAUUUG